RNAcentral lists this ribosomal RNA (495 nucleotides) under uncultured bacterium. RNAcentral's name for it is "bacterial SSU rRNA". It matches the Rfam family "Bacterial small subunit ribosomal RNA", at positions 30 to 518 of the family's 1533-position model. The record is from RNAcentral.
UGAACGCUAGCGACAGGCUAACACAUGCAAGUCGAGGGGUAACAGGGUAGCAAUACCGCUGACGACCGGCGCACGGGUGAGUAACGCGUAUGCAACCUGCCUAUAACUGGGGAAUAGCUCCCUGAAAGGGGAAUUAACACCGCAUAACACUAUUGAUUCGCAUGGAUUAGUAGUUAAAUGUAGCGAUACAGGUUAUAGAUGGGCAUGCGUGACAUUAGCCAGUUGGUGAGGUAACGGCUCACCAGGGCUACGAUGUCUAGGGGUUCUGAGAGGAAGGCCCCCCACACUGGUACUGAGACACGGACCAGACUCCUACGGGAGGCAGCAGCGAGGAAUAUUGGUCAAUGGGCGCAAGCCUGAACCAGCCAUGUCGCGUGCAGGAAGACUGCCCCUAUGGGUUGUAAACUGCUUUUAUAGUAGAAGAAACACAUCUACGCGUAGAUGUCUGCCAGUAUACUAUGAAUAAGCAUCGGCUAACUCCGUGCCAGCAGCUGC